CGUCCAACCACAUUGGAUGUUUGAGCUGCUUCCCCUGGAUCACCCCACUCAAUGACUCUUCAUUGUGGGGAUGACACCGACUACACAGUAGAACACAAGAGGAUCUUCCCCAGGCUGCAAUCAGGCUUUCAUAAUUGUGGAAACUGAGGGACACAGAAGCAAAGAGAUUCGCUCAUGGUCAAAAAGCCAGGAAUAGAAAAUGGCAGAUCUGCUGCUAGUCAGUCCUGGUGUUUAUCCUGGCCUCUCUGCUUCAGCUCCAGUAACAACCCAAGAAGAGGUUUUCGUCUUCUCCAUGUUCUUUAACUUCACGUCACUGCAGAAGAAAGAUUUUUUCUUACCAGCUGGCUCGAAUGCAUGUAGAUGUCUUUCCAGAAGAUGUGCUCUGGCUCAGUCACAUGUCCUAGGUUUUCUGGAGGAAGCACUCGGUGACGUUCUAGGGCCUGUGUUAUACAGAAGAUGGACAUAAUGGUUCUUUUGGACCUUAAACUUUUUCUUUUGCUAGGAGGAUAAUGCUGGACAUUUUCUCACAUUCAUUUUCCUUUAGAAUAAUUUAAAUCCAGUCCAAAGGAUUUCCUCUUC
Mauremys reevesii (Reeves's turtle) is the source of this 579-nucleotide long non-coding RNA. RefSeq lists it as uncharacterized. The record is from RefSeq and is a predicted model, not a curated record. The transcript is spliced from 2 exons. Lineage: Eukaryota; Metazoa; Chordata; Testudines; Geoemydidae.